GUGGGGAAUCUUGCACAAUGGGGGAAACCCUGAUGCAGCGACGCCGCGUGAGCGAUGAAGCCCUUCGGGGUGUAAAGCUCUUUCGGCAGGGAAGAUGAUGACGGUACCUGCAGAAGCAGCUGCGGCUAACUACGUGCCAGCAGCCGCGGUAAUACGUAGGCAGCAAGCGUUGUUCGGAGUUACUGGGCGUAAAGGGUGUGUAGGCGGUUCCUUAAGUUUGGUGUGAAAUCUCCCGGCUCAACUGGGAGGGUGCGCCGGAUACUGAGGGACUGGAGUGCGGGAUGGGAGAGUGGAAUUCCUGGUGUAGCGGUGAAAUGCGUAGAUAUCAGGAGGAACACCGGUGGUGUAGACGGCUCUCUGGACCGCAACUGACGCUGAGACACGAAAGCGUGGGUAGCAAACAGGAUUAGAUACCCUAGUAGUCC
RNAcentral lists this ribosomal RNA (425 nucleotides) under uncultured bacterium. Its description in RNAcentral is "bacterial SSU rRNA". It matches the Rfam family "Bacterial small subunit ribosomal RNA", at positions 354 to 796 of the family's 1533-position model. The record is from RNAcentral.